GACAAUGGCUCUAUCUAAUCUCUUUCUAGUGUUGUUUCUACCUCUUCUACCCUUAGACCAGGUAAAAGCUGAGCCUUUGGUUGGAAGAUGAAUGAAGUUAUUAACAUCAGUCUAGUUUUGGAAAUCUAGCAUUGGGAUUCUAGGAGGGGGGUGGGAACCUUGAUGCUCAUGUGACCCUAAUAUGGUAUUAAAGUCACCAAUGCAGCACCAAGAUAUAUUGCGUUGGUUUUGG
Molecule: long non-coding RNA, 232 nt
Filed under: Medicago truncatula (barrel medic)
Lineage: Eukaryota; Viridiplantae; Streptophyta; Magnoliopsida; Fabales; Fabaceae
Description: long non-coding RNA (MTRU_LNC000464)
Source: RNAcentral